AUGACAUCCAUUUUGAUCAAUGAGCUUGUUUUAAACCAUUUGAAUCAGAUACUACCUGCGACAAAAGCACAGAUACAGUAUGUUAUUAGAAUGGAUAGGCUAUACUCAGUUUGUCAUAGUCAACACACAAUAAGGCUUACGGAUAACAAGGUUGUUACAGGCUAGACGAGUCCGUUCUCCAGUCCGUUCUCAAUGAGGCUGUGUCCUUUUUUGUCCCAGCCCCAUGUGUGCACUCCGUAUGGACAAUUUUCCAGCAUUCCACUACUGUCCCUUUCUACUCUCAUUGGCCAAAGUCAAGAGAAGGGCUAGGUAAUCUGGACCCCUUUGACUGCAGCCGACUGGAUUCAGAGGGUGCCGAGGACUUUGAUUGGCUGAUGCUGGAAGACUGGCAGACCAGCAGACACCUCUUCCAGUUACGUCUGAGACUCCGCCUCUUUCUCUACUCCAGCCCCUGGUCGAAUGCUCUUGAUUGACAGGUACAUCUCUUCCUCUGCAUCGUAGUAGUAGAACUUCCUCAGGUACAUGAUCAGUGGUCUGGAGAGGGAGAGGUCAAAUGAGUAACCCCCUAUGCAAAAAUAUACCUUUACAUUAUGUUUCGCAUGUGAAGUAGUUUUCUUUCUGUGUAUAACACUCUCCAUAAAAGAAAGGAAACUGAUGAUGAUGAUGAUGGAUUGCAUUAAGUAGUAUUCUAUCUGUGUAUAACACUCCAUAAAAUAAAGGAAACUGAUGAUGAUGAUGAUGAUGAUGGAUUGCAUUAAAGUACAGCUGCUAUAUAUACCACUUUUCA
Oncorhynchus nerka (sockeye salmon) is the source of this 787-nucleotide long non-coding RNA. RefSeq lists it as uncharacterized. The transcript is spliced from 2 exons. The record is from RefSeq and is a predicted model, not a curated record. NCBI's taxonomy places the organism in Eukaryota, Metazoa, Chordata, Actinopteri, Salmoniformes, Salmonidae.